CCUAACCAGUUCGGUAAAAGUUGACCCUGUAUUCAAGAGAUAAACGUUUCAUGGCGAAAUCUUAGGCGUACAUUUUACAGUUGUUAUCACAUCGUUCAAAAUUUGAAAUCCCUGAAAACAUAUCCUACUUCAAUCUUUCCUUCCUCUCUCCCCAUAAGAAGCCCUAACACGCAUCCACCUUGUCAUUUUAUACUGCCAUAUACAGAGAGGUGUUGAAGAUCGGAAAAUCUCUACACACACUCACCACUCUCGCUCAAUACAGGUUGAAAUCUCUGUACCCUUGAAGGUUUAAUCGUUUAAGCUACCACUCCCCGUGCCAUCACCAUCAACAACCACACAUCGCACCAUGCCAUCAGGAACCACUCUUCUGUUUUUUUUGUUUUCUAUUUUUGAAAAUCCAGUUACGCCUCCUCCUAACUCGAAAUCGAGUUUCAGUUGAUGGAGGAAAAUGAAUUUCACCGGCUGCUCCAAGUUUCAAAAACUAAGUCUAAUCACUUGCUGUCUUCUUAAUUUCCAUAAUAUGAAAAUUUUACCCAAUUAUGGUAUAGUAAUUUCAUAUUAUUUCUAUAAGCCAAUCUGUAAAGUUUUUUCUUAUUAUGUACUUUGAGAAGUUUGAAAUUACAACUUCUAGAGCAUGCUAUAUUUGUCUAAUAUUAUCCAUUUUGGUGUCAUUGUUGAUUGUAGGUAAAGUGGAUUUGUGUUGGCUUUGUUGGAAAUUGUGCAUACGUUUUUUUACUUUUGCUGAUUUUGUGAUGUAGGCCUUGCCGAAUUAGCAAAUUGCUGAUUACCCGAAUUAGCAAACUGCUAAUUACCCACCAAAAUUGGUUCCAGAACUGUUUGCAGCAAUAAUUUUGUUUUGGAUUCAGGUACUAUAAUUUUGUUUUAUUUAGUUCUAAAUUAUAAAUAAUAAAAUGAAUAACUUUUGAUUCUCAAGUCCGUUUUAACCAUUGUAAUCAUUGCAUUUAUUUAAUCUAUUAUUUAGUUAUCAUAGUUUUAGGUCACAUGUAUGUAGGUUUAUUUUUUAUUGCUAUAAAGCACAAAGAAAUGAUAGUAGGAUGCUAUAAAGCACAAAGAAAUGGAAGUAUGUUGCUUUAUUUUUUAUUUUUUUGGGCUAUUAGCUGCCAAAAGGCCAAAUUUGUUUAAUGUCAAAAGGCCAAAGUUUUGUUUUAUUUUGUCAAACUAAUGGAUUUUGUUCUUCCUGUAUCUAGGUUGGAGAUAACUUUAGUAAAUUUGGGGUUUUGCAUUUUUUUUGCUACCUAAUUCUAAUGCUACCAUUUACUUUUAUGUGUUUUGUAAUGAAAUACUCUUAUACUUUGAAUAAGAUGGGAGUUAGUUACUUA
This is a non-coding RNA of Lactuca sativa (garden lettuce), 1340 nucleotides long. The record is from RefSeq and is a predicted model, not a curated record. NCBI's taxonomy places the organism in Eukaryota, Viridiplantae, Streptophyta, Magnoliopsida, Asterales, Asteraceae.